Molecule: unclassified non-coding RNA, 512 nt
Filed under: Klebsiella oxytoca
Lineage: Bacteria; Pseudomonadati; Pseudomonadota; Gammaproteobacteria; Enterobacterales; Enterobacteriaceae
Description: partial 16S-23S ribosomal RNA intergenic spacer
Rfam family: Salmonella enterica Typhi npcRNA 44 (bases 400-505)
Source: RNAcentral
CCUGAAAGAACCUGCCUUUGUAGUGUCCACACAGAUUGUCUGAUGAAAAAUAAGCAGUAAGAAAAUCUCUGCAGGCUUGUAGCUCAGGUGGUUAGAGCGCACCCCUGAUAAGGGUGAGGUCGGUGGUUCAAGUCCACUCAGGCCUACCAAAUUUCUGCUGAUGCUGCGUUGCGGCGACACUCACAUACUUUAAGUAUGCUUCGUGUCACCACGCCUUGCCUCAACAGAAAUUAAGGUUGAUGAGAUUUUAACUACGAUGGGGCUAUAGCUCAGCUGGGAGAGCGCCUGCUUUGCACGCAGGAGGUCUGCGGUUCGAUCCCGCAUAGCUCCACCAUCAUUACUGCCAAAAACAAGAAAACUUCAGAGUGUACCUGAAAAGGUUCACUGCGAAGUUUUGCUCUUUAAAAAUCUGGAUCAAGCUGAAAAUUGAAACGACACACUGUUCAAGUGUGUUCGAGUCUCUCAAAUUUUCGCGACACGAUGAUGUUUCAUGAAACAUCUUCGGGUUGUGA